UCUUUUUCUCUAUUGAGAAUCCCACAGACUGAGCAGUCUUGAGUUAAUAAACUGAACUUGGAAAUUGUUUAGAAACUUAAAACAAUAAAAUGAGCUACUACCUCUCAUUUCAGUUGUUUUGAUAAUCGGGUCAUUUAAUGGUGAAGCCAGUGGGAUGUACAGGUAAAUUAUUAAAUAUUAUCAGAUUCUCAAUAGUAUUUCAAUUUGGGCAGGAGUUGGGCAAGAAAACACUUAACUGGAAAGUUUAAGCAGAAGGUCUUUCUGUUAAUUUUAUGUAAUUUGUGCCAUGUUAAGUCUAUCUAACUGAGGACAAAUACAACUUUAAAGAGAAAAUUGGCAGAAAUUCUAAGAAAAUCUCUCAAACAUAUUGAAAACUGCUUCAUUUGUGGCAUGACAGAAAAUCAUUGGCAAACACUUAAGGAGGUGAGCGAAUAUUUUGGGUAAUAUAGUGUAUAUGGUAUCCAUAUCUUUAUUGGGGCCUGCCUAGCAGAGCAGUGACUGCCUUGCUUCUGCCCAUAGCAAUAGGCAGGCACCUAUUGUUCUACUACACCCAAUAGGAUGUCUCUUUAUUAUUAAAGUUUAUUUAUUUUUCUUCCGUCACCGUUAGUGUGGCUCGUACCGCUGUGUGCACCUCCACAAAAAUGGUAUCAAAACGUCCGGCUUGAUGCCGAGAAGGGAGCUAUUUUUAGUAGGAUUCAGAGUUACCAUGGUGACAUAAAUUGCGAAGCAAGGCUGAGUGUCACGGAAUCAGGAAUCUUUCUCUCUGACACACACACAGGACAGUGGAUUUCUGACUCCAAAACUCUUUUUAACUCACCCUCAUGGGCACAAAAUCAAAAAUCGCCCUAUUGCUCUGAAAGUCAGUCAUGACAUUGAUGCCCAUGCCUGCUCUUGUAAAAUGUUUUCAAAAUUUUUCUAGGGGUUGUAGUUCUCUGUAAAAGUGCUUCAGACCGACGCUCAGUGUCUGACAAAGAUAGGAACUCUUAGUGUCUCACAGAGACAGGAAUAUUUCUCUCUGACACACAGCACAGUAGAUAUCUGACUUUAGCUCGCCCUCACGGACACAAAAAUCGCCCUAUAGACCCUUUUCACAUGACGUCAGACAACAUCCGUUUUGACUCGAUCCAGUGUAUCUUUAGUUCUGGUGUGUGUAGUUAACGCUGUUUCUGGACUGUAAAGCAGCUGCCACAAAUACGAUUUGAAGAUAUAUCACUAUUUGCAAGCAAUUUUUCUUCAUCAACAUAAUCUAAACUGGACAAAUUCCUCGCUGAUUGAUACCAGUUUCACUACAAAGGUUACACUUGAUUCUGCUGUGGUGCCUGUGGAAACAAAGUGCAUGAAGUUUGUGCUCAGGUGGGAAAACCCUGUGGAUCACAUGGUGGGACUUCUGCUUCAAACUGCUCACUACAGUUUACCAUUGCCUCUGUCAUGCACCAGUUCACUGCAGACUGACACCCGCCAAGGACCCUACAUGGAUGUCUUCUUAAGUUGUAAACCCUGAGUACAUACUGUUGAAAUAAAAUUGAUAUGCCUUUUGUAAAUACAUUUUCUCUAUCAAUGACUUAAAUUGUUAACUGUGGUAAUUAUGUUUGUGUAAUGUAGUAACCAUGUACAGUGUUUAAUAUAAUUAUUAAAUAGAUGUUUUAAAGAAACAAUCACAAACCUUAUGUCUUUGGUCCCCAAUAGCAGCUUUAAUUUUAGCAUUUCCUCUCAUCCACAUAUUUCGUUGCCAGAUGUGUAAAAUUUACAAAAAGAAGCAAUUUAAAUGUAAAACUUGCACAUAUGUAGAUUACUCAAGAGAAACUAUUUACAAUAGUUUUUGCAGAACUCUACACAUCAAUUCAUUUAUUAAUAGAUACAUAUAGAUAUUAAUUACAGAAUAGAUACACAAAGAAUUCAUUUCUAACACAGCUGCUUGCAGUAGUGAGUGUUCAUCCAAGAAGUGUGACUUGCAGGAGCAGGGAGGCUCUGUACUGGUUUCUCCUUUUAAAUCAAGAGGCCCAUGACAGUUUGACAUUAGGCAGCAGAUGUCCCACAGUUGAUUGACUGAUCCUACCAUGGACAGAGAAACAAGACCAUCUCAGAUAUGGUAGGUCGGCUACUGUUGGAAAGAUGGACAACAAAAGAAAUGGAGAAAUUAUGAAUCACACAGAAUAUGUAAAUUAUUUAGCAGAUAGUGCUUAAAUCAAUAUUUAAAAUGCUUUUCUAAACAACAGUGUUGGAAGAUGUCAGUGAUUUUAGUGAAACUUAACAACACAGCACUGAAAGGCAGCGGUGUAUAUAUUUUCCCAACUGUGGCUAAAGCUGCUGCUAGCUGGUUUACUCUCCGAUCGGAGGCUGGUUAUUAUAUACACAGUCAAAGAAUGGUGGAUUGACAAUGAGUAAUAACGGUUAUCUAACACUUAAAUGCUGUUAUUAUUAACCUUACCUUUUAUUAUAUCCUUAAGAUAAUGAGUAUCCGUGAAUUAUUCAGUCAGGUUUCCCGAGGCAAAAUCACACCGGAAGUAAAGAUACACCGCUUCGAGUUAUGGCAGCCAUUGUCUGACGUCGCUGUGAAAAGGGUCUAUUGGUCUAAAAGUCGGUCAUGACAUACACACACAUGCCUGCUCCCAUAAAAUGUUUUCGAAAUUUUUCUAGGGCUUAUGGUUCUCUGUCAAAUUGCUUUAGACCGACCCUGAGUGUCUCAUAAAGAGAGGAACUCUUUUUCCACCAUUCUGUUUGACACAGAGACACAGCCCAGGUGCAGGUCAUUAAUUACCAUAGCAAGGCAGCCUUGACGCUAAUGUUGAGCUUCAGAAUGCUUUUCAUACUUAUUAGCUAUGUUUUGUAUCCUGAAUGGAGUAAGUCUAUAAUAGACAACAUGUUAGUGAUACCCCACAUGCUACUGAUAGCAUUCAUGCUGUUAUUAGCAUUUUGGCUAA
Long non-coding RNA from Poecilia latipinna (sailfin molly), 2921 nucleotides. RefSeq lists it as uncharacterized. The record is from RefSeq and is a predicted model, not a curated record. The transcript is spliced from 3 exons. Lineage: Eukaryota; Metazoa; Chordata; Actinopteri; Cyprinodontiformes; Poeciliidae.